AACGAACGCUGGCGGCAUGCCUAACACAUGCAAGUCGAACGAUACCUUCGGGUCUUUUUUCGCACGGGUUCGUAACGCGUUGGAACCUUCCCUUAUGUUCGGAAUAACUCCCCGAAAGGGGUGCUAAUACCGGAUAAUUUCUUCUGACCAAAGAUUUAUCGCCUUUGGAUGGGCCCGCGUUGGAUUAGCUAGUUGGUAGGGUAAAAGCCUACCAAGGCGACGAUACAUAGCUGGUCUGAGAGGAUGAUCAGCCACACUGGGACUGAGACACGGCCCAGACUAGUACGGGAGGGAGGAGUGGGGAAUAUUGGAAAAUGGGGGAAAGGAUGAAAAAGCAAUGACGGGUGAGUGAGGAAGGGAUUAGGGAAGUAAAGCACAAUUAAAAGGGAAGAUAAUGACAGUACCGGGAGAAUAAGCACCGGCUAACUACGUG
RNAcentral lists this ribosomal RNA (433 nucleotides) under uncultured bacterium. RNAcentral's name for it is "partial 16S ribosomal RNA". It matches the Rfam family "Bacterial small subunit ribosomal RNA", at positions 29 to 507 of the family's 1533-position model. The record is from RNAcentral.